This is a long non-coding RNA of Cyanistes caeruleus (blue tit), 549 nucleotides long. RefSeq lists it as uncharacterized. Lineage: Eukaryota; Metazoa; Chordata; Aves; Passeriformes; Paridae. The record is from RefSeq and is a predicted model, not a curated record.
GCAGGGCUCCCACACAAACCUCAAAGGCUCAGCCCAGCCUGCUGGGUUUUGGUGGCACUGAGGGACACCUGGUUUAACACAGGUCCCCUGCAAGCAGCUGAGCCCAGAGAGUGACAGGAAAUCCUCAACAGCACCAGCUGUGGUCACAUCUCCAUCAGAAGGAUGGGCAGAGCCACCAGCAAGGAGAAGGCUUCCACCAUCCCCUGGAGCAUCUGAGACUGCCAAGGUUUGAGUCCAUGGGAAAGGAUUCCUGCAGCACCACCAGGGCCUAAGGAAAGCUCCCUCCCAAACCACUUUACUGUGAAAAAGGCACAGUUCAGAGAUGACAGCAGGGAUUUUAGCCAGGACUCCUGAACUGCCUCAAGAUUUGGGGAAUUGCUGCAACCAGAGGAGAAACCCCCCACCCACAGCAGGUGAGCUCCAGGAUUUGUAGCUGUAGCCCAGGAACCGUUCCCUAAGGGGUUCUCAGACCCACAGGAGUCAUCCCAGCCAGGAGGGCAAGAGGUGCCCUGAGAAGAUGGGAUGUGUGGGAGAAACCUCACCUCUGCA